GGAUGCGAUCAUACUAGCACUAAAGCACCGGAUCCCAUCAGAACUCUGAAGUUAAGCGUGCUUGGGCGAGAGUAGUACUAGGUUGGGUGACCUCCUGGGAAGUCCUCGUGUUGCAUUCC
Molecule: ribosomal RNA, 119 nt
Filed under: Triticum aestivum (bread wheat)
Lineage: Eukaryota; Viridiplantae; Streptophyta; Magnoliopsida; Poales; Poaceae
Source: RNAcentral